This 255-nucleotide ribosomal RNA is filed under the name uncultured bacterium. RNAcentral describes it as "partial 16S ribosomal RNA". It matches the Rfam family "Bacterial small subunit ribosomal RNA", at positions 16 to 263 of the family's 1533-position model. The record is from RNAcentral.
GUCAUGGCUCAGGAUGAACGCUAGCUACAGGCUUAACACAUGCAAGUCGAGGGGCAUCAGGAAGAAAGCUUGCUUUCUUUGCUGGCGACCGGCGCACGGGUGAGUAACACGUAUCCAACCUGCCCUUUACUCGGGGGUAGCCUUUCGAAAGAAAGAUUAAUACCCGAUAGCAUAAUGAUUCCGCAUGGUUUCAUUAUUAAAGGAUUCCGGUAAAGGAUGGGGAUGCGUUCCAUUAGGUUGUUGGUGAGGUAACGG